RNAcentral lists this long non-coding RNA (264 nucleotides) under Nicotiana tabacum (common tobacco). Its description in RNAcentral is "long non-coding RNA (NTAB_LNC001431)". Lineage: Eukaryota; Viridiplantae; Streptophyta; Magnoliopsida; Solanales; Solanaceae. The record is from RNAcentral.
GAGAACAGAGACAUACAUUUCAAGUUUCAGCAGUCAGGAGCCCGCCUGGAGAAUAGAGGCAUACAAUUCAAGUUUUAGCAGUCAGGAGCUCGCCUGAAGAACAGAGGUAUUACAAUUCAAGUUUUAGUUUUCCAUUAAUUUCUUUGUCUAUUUUGAAGUCAGGAGCCCGCCUGGAGAACAGAGGCAUACAUUUCAAGUUUCAGCAGUGAGGAGCCCGCCUGGAGAAUAGAGGCAUACAAUUCAAGUUUCAGCAGUCAGGAGCCC